AUCGGAACGGCCCCUCAGACGAAUCGGAAUCUCCUGGGUGGAGUGGCUGCUGUUGCCAUGGCGCUCAGAUGUUGGCGUGGUUCCUCCACCCUCCAGGAGAGUCUCCGCCCCGUUGGGUCUGAGCGAAGGCGUCCACACAUAGAAGCACAACACAGGCAGCACAUGGAAACGCUAGAUUUCAUUGGCAGAACUAGAUUGAUCGGCUCCUUUUUAUAUCCUGUCUGUUUCUACCACACUUUGGCCUUGGGUGAAAUGUCUGGUGCAGAACUGCACGUGUCCUCCGCAGGGACGAGUGCAGCUUUAUCUUUUAACAUGGACAAUGUAAAGUAAGAGUCUGCUUCCUUUCUGUCCCUAACCUUUCUGCUUCGCUGUCAUCAGUCAUUUCCUGUUACAUUUGGGGCUUCGUUAGUCAACUGUGGGAUUGGGAAGCUUCGUUGGGCUUGAAUAUCAACGGGGCUGCUCUUCGCUCCUCAGGAGUUUCCCCUUCAACCCACUCUGACAUUUUACUAGAAUUUGUUGAUAUUUUUGUUGGGGGGACCCUCCCUCCCCAACGUCAUUAUAUCUUUUGGCAGUUAUCCUGAGAUCAGUAGUUUUCCUCUUGGACUUUUGUUUACCCUAUAAAGACUGUCAUCAUAGCUUGUUGGCUUUAUUUUAACAACCAUUAUUUCCUCAGUGACUUCCAUUUGUAUGGAAUAAAAAUGUAGGAUGGAUGGAAAAAUGGCAGAACUUGUCCGUGCUUCAGUCGGUGCUUAGUUCUGUUAACACUCCUCGUACGGCGCCGUUUGACUUCCUUUGGUCUUUGUUUUCUUUGGGCGAGUGAAGCAAACGGGAUGAGAACUGAGCGCUGCCCCGGCCUUCUGCUCUGACUCUUCCCUUGGCUCCUCACGUCAAGAAGGACUUUAAAAUCAAGAGCUUGUCCGGGGACGUGGGCCUGACUGGUCUGGGGGGCCGUCUGGGGGCACCUUGGGGGCCAGCAGAUGGUGGCGAGCCCUGGAAACCCUGGACCGAUGUAGGGAUGCCCUCAAACAUGGGCGGCAUCAUACAUGAGAGACAUCACAGUGGCACCGUCCGCUGCCCCCCCAUUCACCCAUUCACCCAUUCACCCACUCAUUCACUGCUGUAAGUUGGGGUCGUUUGUUUACUGACCGGUGUGAAGAUCGUCUCGGGGAUGUUGUGAGUAGGGCAUUUGAUGAUUCUUAUUUUUGUAAUGUGUAAGUGUGUGGCAUGUGUGUGUUUCCAGGUGUCUGUAAUAACGGGGGGGGGCAGGCGGUUCACAUGAAUGGCGAGCACCUUCUGCCUUGUUUGCCCACAUGGUUCAGCUAAUGUUCCCUAGCAAGACAGUUGUGUCGCUUCCAUGCAUCAGACAUAUAUACAUUCAAAUAUGUGUAUAUGCUCCUCGAACCUUUAACGUCUCAUGUAAACAGGAUCAGCAGGCAAGCGAAGCUGGAUGUCUUUCUCUGCCCCCCCACUGACUCCUAAGCAUGGACACGCACCCAUGGGUGUCGCUUGCCUUGUCUCUUACUGGUUUCAACCUUGUACACACAACACUGGCUCGGAGAGUGCUUCAUCUUUCCUUAACUCCUAAUGUUAAUGUGCGCAUUACUUCACGUACCCAUGUUAAAAAGAAACGUAGUGUAUUCCAGAAAAAAACUUAAAGAUUGUACUAUGUUUAAGGUACCUGGAGUGAUUCAAGCUGUUAUAACAAUUAUGGUUUUAUUAAUGGAACCAUAAUAUACACACAUGUAUGUAUAUUGGUAUGUAUCUAAGUUUUGUCUACCCCAACUUACAUUCCCACAAACAAAUGCCAUUUUAGUUCAAGGGAGCAAUGUACAAGCAGAGAAGUGUCUUAUUAUAAUAAAGUUAUACAGAGAAGGCAAAGUUAAAUAAACUACUUUUGAUUUAAUUCAACCUUUAUUUGUAUGUGUCUGAAUUAUUUUUUGGAGUAGGAAAAAGGUUUAGUUUAGUUACCAACUAAAGAGUUGGAUUAUAAUAAUUGAUGUUCAGGUUUGACCCAUGAUUUCCAGCCUUUCAGUUUACAAUAUACUGGGAAUACUACAUUUGUGUGUGUAUUGGAAUACUUUGUGUUGUCGUUUCAACAUCUCUUCAACAUCUCUUAAAUAUAAUUAUGUCACUUAAUCUUCCAAAACGCUUUGCGGGCCGCGAUUCUUGUACGUGCCGCCAGCAGAAGGCGGUAGAGAGCCGCGGAGGGUUACUGCGACUCACUGCCGCCAGCAGGGGGCGGUAGAGAGCCGCGGAGGGUUACUGCGACUCACUGCCGCCAGCAGGGGGCGGUAGUGAGCCGCGGAGGGUUACUGCG
Molecule: long non-coding RNA, 2317 nt
Organism: Takifugu rubripes (torafugu)
Lineage: Eukaryota; Metazoa; Chordata; Actinopteri; Tetraodontiformes; Tetraodontidae
Source: Ensembl